CGUGUAGGCGGACAAGUCAGUCGAUGGUGAAAUCCUACAGCUUAACUGUAGAACUGCCUUUGAUACUACUUGUCUUGAGUUCGGGAGAGGGAAGCGGAAUUCCUGGUGUAGCGGUGAAAUGCGUAGAUAUCAGGAAGAACACCGGUAGCGAAGGCAGCUUCCUGGCCCGAUACUGACGCUAAAGCGCGAAAGCGUGGGGAGCAAACA
Molecule: ribosomal RNA, 207 nt
Filed under: uncultured bacterium
Lineage: Bacteria
Description: partial 16S ribosomal RNA
Rfam family: Bacterial small subunit ribosomal RNA
Source: RNAcentral